This is a non-coding RNA of Podarcis lilfordi (Lilford's wall lizard), 114 nucleotides long. The record is from the annotation of a GenBank genome assembly. NCBI's taxonomy places the organism in Eukaryota, Metazoa, Chordata, Lepidosauria, Squamata, Lacertidae.
ACCUUAGAGACCAGCUAAGUUUGUUAUUGGUAUGAGCUUUCGUGUGCAUCUGAAGAAGUGUGCAUGCACACACAAAAGCUCAUACCAAUAACAAACUUAGCUGGUCUCUAAGGU